CACGCCCUAAACGAUGUCAACUAGCUGUUGGGGGUUUGAAUCCUUGGUAGCGUAGCUAACGCGAGAAGUUGACCGCCUGGGGAGUNACGCGAAAAACCUUACCUGGUCUUGACAUGUACGGAACUUGCCAGAGAUGGCUUGGUGCUCGAAAGAGAGCCGUAACACAGGUGC
Molecule: ribosomal RNA, 171 nt
Filed under: uncultured bacterium
Lineage: Bacteria
Description: partial 16S ribosomal RNA
Source: RNAcentral